CUCAACACUGACGAUUUACUUCAUCUUUUACUUUUACUACUGUAGGAGGCUCCCAGUGCAUGUUCUCAGUUAGCCAACCGAACCUUCUUGCCAACAGGAAAAGAUGAUACAUAUUGUCUAGUCAUAUUUCAAAAGAAAGUUCAAAUUCUGUGAGCUUUGAAUGGGUCACGUUCCUAUUGAGAUGUCCGGUUUGUCUACAAUUGUGCCGUCACCUUCAGGUUCAAAGCCUCUUGUUAUUCGAAAUCCUGAAAAUGAUUCUCCAACCAAAUUUGAGAUUUGGGGUCGAUCUCUAGUCGAAAGGAGUUCACUGUCCAUCUCUCUGUCCAUGGCUCUGUAUAUGUCGACGGAGGAUAACUUAUGUUAGCAAAAUCAACAUCACCGAUUCUUCAGUUCACAAUUACAUGGUGUUAGCUAGCAUUUGAUACUGCAGGUUUGGGGGAAUUUCGUGGAAUAAUGAUGAAUUUCUUUUUUCUUAUGCCACUGAGGAGCCGGUUCUCUCAAAGCCUACAUUUACUAAUUACGGUUACAAGAAAGGGAAUUCUAUGGAUAAGGAGUGUGGCAGCUGCAGAGGUCAAGGGAAUUGGGAAGAGGACUUGGGAGAAACCAAUCCUGGAAAAAGAAUCCAGAUCUUUUUGUAAUCAGUGUUACCAGUGGAGAAGUAUGUCCUGUUGGAGGAAUGACAAAGAUGCUUAGUGUUGGACAAGUUGUGUGAGCUCCAUCCACUGAACGCUUGCAGCAAUAUCUAGUUUUUGUUGGAUGGCCAUAACAUACUAGAAAGUUGGGCAUCAAAUUUUGCUAUAACAGGCCUCGUGCCUUAUAUGCUGUUAGGGCUCCUUUUCCAAAAUCAGAAUUUCAUCAACCUGAGUUUGUAUCUACUAGCUGCUACAGAUGAUAUUGUUGUGGACUAACACAUCCAUUUCUAUAUGAAUAUAGUAGAGGGGCUCGAGUAAUAGUGAUUUCCCAUAUAUCUGAGUCCUUUUUUUCUUUUCCUUUUUUGUGUAGUUUCACUAUUAAUCGACUUACUAUCACUUUCAAAAAUAAUGUAACCGAAGAUGCACUUCCAGUUAAGCUGACACAAAGCAUAAGUAGGGCAUUCUUUCCGCGUUUCAGGUGUGUUGUUUACUCAAACAGUUAUUUAUAAGUCAUUCUGAAAAUGGUGGAAACACUUCCCUAUGAAUUCCAUGAUAUGUUUCCUUUUUUCAUAAACUAUAGAAAAGCAUCUCUAGGAGCAAUAUAAAGUUUUUUCUAUUUCUGACUCUGUCUAAUUUCUGCAGCUUAGUUACCUGAUAUAAUAGAACAGAUGAUCUUUUAACUAAAUUUUGCAGUCCAGAUGGCAAGUAUCUUGUAUUCUGGUCAAAAGUUGUAAUGCAAAAAAUUCACUUCAUAGAAUUGACUGGUGCAUUGAUGCAAAGCUUAGUUCAGAUGCUAAAAUUGUUGAUGUGGUAUGUCUCAUUUUUGUAAUUCUGCUAAUUUAUAGGAAGGUGUGGAGGUCGAGGAUUAGGGUAGUAGGUUAGGUAGUCUAGAUUGUUCAUACCGGUAGUAUUAGUACGUACUCUCGCAUUCGGUUGGUAUGAGGUUUCUAUGACUACCUGUCAUUUCUUGCAUUUCGGUCAUCUUACUAUCUUGUUAUUUAUGCUGCUUUACAUGUCUUCUUAGUGUUGUCCCUUCUUAUUUUUCUUUUCAUUAAUGUGGUGCUUAUACUUUCCGUGUGCCGAGGGUCUAUUGGAAGCAGUCUCGCUAUCUCCAGUCUCCACAAGGUAGGAGUAAGGUCUCUCCCUAGAUUUCACUAUGUGGGAUUAUACUGGGUAUGUUGUUGUUUAUGUUGCUAAUUUACAUAAGCACUUUGAGGCUAGUCACUAAUUAGUGAUUUUUCAUACCCUAUUUUUUAUGUAUUACAUGUCCAUACAACAGUCAGCAAAUAUUAACAUGACGAUUGCAGGUUCCCAUUGUGAUGUGCCCUGAAGAUGGAUGCUUCCCUAGCCUUUACUGUUUCAGUGUUGUUAGUAAACAUUGGCUUUCUGAUGGAUAUACAAUGAUUUUAUCUUCUGCCUGGGGUAGCACUCUAGUAAUAUUUUCAGUGGAUGUGUUAAGGCAGUAUGUAUUUUUCUUCUCAAUCUGAACUGAAGUCUUCGAUUGUGCGUUGUACCAAAGAUUUCUUGUUUUCUUAAUAGCGGCAAAAUGGCACGAAUCAGUCCUCGAAACUCUUGCUUUUCUUGGAACUUGCUUACACUAGAAUCUAGAUGGUGACAACAUAGUUGGUGUUUAGAGUCAACACGUACUUUAAUUUGAACCGGUUCCAUAUUGCAAUAAGAUUUUGUUUCCUGAUUAUCCAAUCUAGAUAAAUCUGGUGUUUUCCCCUCUAAAGUCUCUAGCAGUCCCGUUGAUGGUCCUGAAAUCAAGUACGGUUUCCUUGUUGGAAAGGCAUCUGCUGAGGCAUCCUGGAGUUGGCUUGAUAUUUCAAGCUCCACAUCUAGAUGCUCUGAAAAGGUUCAUCUACUUGUUAGUUCAAUUACUGAUUGUAUCAUCUGUUCUGCUCGGUUUUAUAUCUGUUAAAAUUACAUUUCUGAAAUUUUAACUGUCCAUCUUUGCUACUUACAAGUUGUAUCUUUGCUGUCAUCCCGCCAAUUUAUUAUCAUGAAGAUACCUAUCAGGGAUCUCUCUGAGAACCUCAGUAAAGGUUGGUGUUUUAAGUAUGAGGUGUAUUUUGCUAAAAAGGCCAAACUUCUUACCAUAACCUUAUGCACUCAUGUUUACUGUUCUCUGAUCUAUAUCUGGAACUAAUAGUGAGAUUUGAAUACUAAAGCCAAACACAUGAGGAAAAUCUAAAUCACCUAGUGGAGAGGAAGACCAGUUCUAGUAUAUGACUUGGAAAACUAAAAAUAUUUAAUUUUUCAAGUGUACAUCUAUUCUUAGUAUUUAUAGAGUAACCCAAUCUCUAACUCAUAAAGUUUGAGGAGCUACCAGACUCAAUCCUCUGUUCAAAGAUAUUUUGUCCUAUGUUGAUAAUGUAAACAUGAUAAUGUUAUAAAGAAAGGUAUUGGUUUGAGUCUUAAGCAAGAUUUUUCUGAAUUUUCCUAGUCUGGUAGCUUAAUAUGCUGUAGAUACAUCAGUAGAUCUGCUGUUCAAAGAUAUGUUGUCCUAUGUUGAUAAUGUCAUCCUGAUCACCACAAAUUUUUACGAACAGCGCUGACUUUGUUAGGAAAAUCACAGUGCCUUAGUUUAGUAUGGUCAUCUAUCCUGUUUAUAUACUUGCAGUGAAACAUAAUCUUGUUUGCUGCUUGAAUCUCCUGUAGAGCAGCAUUAAUAAGGAUUCUGGCUUUAAAUAUGGUUUGAGAAGAUCCAGGAGAGAAGAGACAUUAAACAAAUCAUUCCUUGUGCAAACUCCAGUUGGGGAACAUAUGGGGUUCUCUCUGAUCAUGCCCUGGAAAUACACACGAUAGUUUUUUUUUUUUUUUUGUGUGUGCAGAAUAGCACUAUAAUGUAAAUUCCUAUAAGCUACUUAUAUUUAAAAAAAAGAGGUAAAUUAUAAUAAGCUAACCUUAGAUUUGCAUGUAGUAUUAACUAAUGAAAGAGGAAGCAAGCUUAGAGAUGUGACCUUGAUAACCAUGGCACAUUGACUGCCAAGCUUUUCCUGGCAGUGACUCCCUGUUUUAUCUACAAAAUGCCUGGGAUACGAUCAUAUCAUUCUGACAUAUGGAACUUAGUUACUUUCAGUGUUCAGACUCGGACAAAGAGUUCCACAAUGAAAACAAGAGUGAUUCUGAUGAAAGUUAGAACUACACAGCUACAGAGAAAUGAUGUUUCAACAAAAAUUAUCGACGAUGCUGAACGGCUGAACGAUUCCUCAUGGUCUCUGGUUGACUUUUUUAACUCGCUGAAACUUUCACAUGAAUGAAGAGGGGCGUGAGUAUGCCCUUCAAGCUUGAGGAAAGGUGCUAGCAAACCAUACGAGGCUAUAUUUGUAUCCUCCAAGAAUAAGAGCCAUAAUACGCGUGAUCCACUGAUCGUAGUCCUUCAUGGUGGUCCUCACUCUGUUUCUUGUCAAGCUUCUCAAAGUCCUUAGCCUUCCUUGCCUCGCUUGGUAAUAGCUUGUGCUUUGUUGAUUGUAAAUUAUAGGUAACUGCCAUUUUUCACCUCUUUUCUGAUGUUCUGUUGUUCAAUGGAUGAUUUAUGAACUCCACCGUGAGAUACCAGUAAUGCAUGUGGGCUGCUGCUAUGGGUUGCAAGAGCUCUUCAAAGA
Molecule: long non-coding RNA, 4240 nt
Organism: Nicotiana tabacum (common tobacco)
Lineage: Eukaryota; Viridiplantae; Streptophyta; Magnoliopsida; Solanales; Solanaceae
Source: RefSeq, a predicted model, not a curated record